GACCUGCCUCUGCUGCUUCCACCCUGAUCGGGAGCAGGGAGAUAAGAAGAAGAGGGUGAGGGUGAGAAUGUGGGAGGCAGGAGACGAUCGCCAGACAGAUUACGAGCAGACACGAAGACACGUAAUCUGUGAAAUGAAACAUCCUCCAACAGUUAUGUCUAUUCUUUAAAAAACCCAACCAUAACAUUAAAGCUUAUCGACACCGUUAUGACCAGAUGCAGUAAAAGGUGAUGACAGUGUUUGUGUCUCAUCAGUGUGUUCUUCAGCAGAGCCGAGCCGUCGCCGUCAGAUCAGAGACUGUGUGACUAAGCGAGACUUCGCUGUGACCAGAUGUUGGAACAUCACAGCGUUUCAUCGGAAAAGAAAAACAUCUGCCGGAACAAUCGUUCGUUCUGUUUUCCGACCCUGGAAACGCCAUGACGCAGAAAGCAGCAGCCUGAAGGACCUGAGCGUCAUGAUCACGAUUCACCAUGUACGGGCUCAUGACCAGUUGUGCGUAUCGACCACAAACAGCGGUGAGGAACAUUGUGAGCUCAGCUUCUCGCCUCGAGCAUCACCAGCCACUUGAUGGGGCCGAGCCAGCUCAACUGAAACUAAUCCCGUUACUGUCCUGCACCGGCGGGUUCACAGCGUCGAGGACCACUUGAUGCCCAGUCCAGCUUCUCUCUCUGAGCUCUGAGAUGAUGAGAGGGAGAAAGGUCGAGGCAACACGCAGGAGUGCAAAGUGUUGUGUCAAACUUCAAACGCAUUCCUGACCGCUGACAAAACAUCCCCCUGAAAAACACAUGUUACAAACAGACGCGAAAUAUUAGCGUUACCGCUUCGAAUAGGCCCCUUGGGGAAACAUCAGCCCCCUGACACACACACACACACACUCGCUGACCUACAUGCACACAAACAUUCACUCGUGCUCCGUUUCCUGUGCUCUGAUUCCACCAUUUCGGAACUUUAGAGGACCUCUCGUUGACGUGCGCAAAAACACAGGGUCGGAGGUUAAACGUGGCAGUAACGCGGCGCAUGGCUGCGGGUCGCUGAUAACCGCAGCUGUCAGAGCCGUCAGGGAGAGUCCCACAUGGGCCGUCCCGCCACCGCUCGGCAGGCUGCGGCUUUCGAAGGACCAGCUGCCGCGAGGAGAUGGGAAGUGGUGACGUCGCCUGUAUGACCCUCUGACCCCCCGCUGUCCUCAAAGUGAAAAUGAAUCGGGGACGGAGGUCACGGCAGAAAUGCGCCCCCGAGAGAGGGAAUAAAUCUGUCGUGUGUGUGUGUCGGCAGGAGACAGCGCUGGAACCCGUGGGUCAUGGAAACAGGUAUCGUCCCACCGACAUCUCCGAGAAAAAACUAUUAUAUUCUUAGGUAAACUGCCACGGCAAAUACGUUCUGCAAGAAGAGUCAUCGGUGACAGGAUUACCUUCAGAGGAAAUCGUUGUUUUUAAAAGAAACAAUAUCCUAAUAGAAAAUAUAAUCUGGUGGCUAUGAGACUGGGUUGAGUCAAGUCAACGUAUUAGUACAACUGAAGUAUUAGCAGCAAAACGUAGUUGAGGUAUCAAAGUUCAAGUCAAAGUUUUGGUCCCUCUGAUGUAUUAUAAUAUAUGACAUCAUUAGACUGUGAAGCGUCAGUGUGAUGUUACUGUACACUAGAGGUUUAUAUACAGUUUUAAAAACAGGAAGAGCAGAUAAAUCUGAAGCAUCGUCAGACGAUUAAUGAGAAGAUAGAGACGGAAAAACGAUGUGCUAAUUCACAGAUACGUCCUUUAAUCUUUUCUGUGUCUUGUGAUAUAAAGGAAGUCGAGAGCUCAGGUAGUUUACUUCCCUCGUGUAACUUUCCAUUCAGACUCACAACAGAUUGGACUGUAAACAGUGUCGAGAGCAGGUCCUGACUCAACACUGCUCACUGUACAUAGCGAGAAUAUCCACCACCUGUUUAAUCAAACGCUUUUCAACCCAUUCAGCAAACAUGAGCACACACACACAAUCUGCAACCAGCACACACGCACUCGUCCCUCUCCGGUGGAGAUUUUUCCACGAUCGGCCGGCGACGCUCCGGUUCGUCGCGGGAUAUAAAAGCUUCUCUGUGCCGAGCGGCGCAACAACCGCCGAGCUUCAUCUGCCGCCAGACUUGUUGGCACAGGUGUAUUUUUCUUAGCCGGCCACAAUGUGACACGAUGUGUGGACUGUUGUGUGACUCUGUACGGGGAAAGUUUUAAAGGUAAAGGACCAGUUCACCCAAAAUAGAAACAUUUUUGGAAUGUCCGAGCUGUGUUGAGCAAAGUUACUACUUGCAAAGUGUAUUUAACCAAUAGAAGAAUAAAUCUGCGUCAUUACAUUG
This is a long non-coding RNA of Scophthalmus maximus (turbot), 2326 nucleotides long. RefSeq lists it as uncharacterized. The record is from RefSeq and is a predicted model, not a curated record. Lineage: Eukaryota; Metazoa; Chordata; Actinopteri; Pleuronectiformes; Scophthalmidae. The transcript is spliced from 2 exons.